UACGGGGGGGGCAAGCGUUGUUCGGAAUUACUGGGCGUAAAGGGCUCGUAGGCGGCCAACUAAGUCAGACGUGAAAUCCCUCGGCUUAACCGGGGAACUGCGUCUGAUACUGGAUGGCUUGAGUUUGGGAGAGGGAUGCGGAAUUCCAGGUGUAGCGGUGAAAUGCGUAGAUAUCUGGAGGAACACCGGUGGCGAAGGCGGCUCUCUAGUACGGUACUGACGCUGAGACGCGAAAGCGUGGGGAGCGAACAGG
Molecule: ribosomal RNA, 253 nt
Filed under: uncultured bacterium
Lineage: Bacteria
Description: partial 16S ribosomal RNA
Rfam family: Bacterial small subunit ribosomal RNA
Source: RNAcentral